UCCCGCUGAGCAAGGAGCCCAAUGCAGGGCUUGAUCACAGGACCCUGGGAUCUUGACCCAAGCCAAAGGCAGACACCCAAUGUCUGAGCCACCCAGGCACCCUGUGAGUGCAUACUUUUAAAACAGGUUUAUUGAGGUGUAAUCUAUGUAUCAUAAAAUUCACCCAUUUUAUUUGUAUCAUUCAUUAAUUUUUAGUAAAUGUGUGGAGUUUUGCAACCAUCAGUCAACGCUGCCAAGUUUUAAAACAUUCCAUUACCCUGAAAAGGCCUUUGUGUCUUUUUGCAGUUAAUCUCUCUUCCUACCUUCCAGCCCCAGGCCAACACAAAUCUGUUUUCCAUCUCUAUAUAUUUGCCUUUUCUGGGCAUUUCAUAUAAGUAAAAUUAUGCAAUAUGGAUUCUUUCUCUUGGCAGAAUAUUUUUUAAGAUCAUCCAUGUUGCAAUAGGUGUUAGUAGUUUCGUUGCUGAAUUAUAGUGCAUUUAUGGAUAUGCCCCAUUUUGUUUAUCCAUGCAAUGGUUGACAGACAUUAGAUGGUUUCCACUUUUGGGCUGUUAUGAGUAAUGUUGUUAUGAGCAUCUGUUUACCAGUCUCUGUGUAGACUUUGUAUUUUCAUUUCUCUUGGGCAGACACCAAGGAGUGGAAUUGUUGGACUGUGUGUUAAUUUAUGUUUAACUCUUUAAGACCCUACCAAACUAUUUUCCAAAGUGAUCAUAUUUUAUUCUGUGGAUUUUUAGGCAGAAGAAAGAGUUGGUUUUCCGUUCUUCCUAAAUUGAAAAACAAACUCAGAAGUUGAGUGAGAAAUCAAUCUCAUUUUAAAAGAAUUUAUAACAGUAGGUACCUGAGUUUAUAAAAUGUUUCAUUGAAACAAAUUUCAAAAAAGAACUCUUAAAAUGGCCACCACCUAGCUAACUGAAGUUAUUACAGUUGAUUCCAGUUGUUUUUGUUCUUGUGGACCAAAUCAAGACAGAGAAAUAUGCAUGAUCAUCUAUUUUUUGUUAGCACCAAAUCAUUUUCCUACUGUUUACCUAGUGAACUCCCUCUGCUUGAUUUGCGAUGAAGUAAGUCUUGGAGAGUUGAUUGUGUGGCAACUACCUCACUCAGGGAAUUGCUUCAUGAACUUACAAUCAUCCAUAAGGUCCUCUCAGAAUGAGAAUUCAGAAAUAGUUCUCUAGGCAAGAGGUUUUGAUCUAGGAAUCGAUUGAGAGCUAUUGGGGGAAAUACUGUUGCCAAUAGUAAUUUGUUCAAACCUGGCUUUUCAGCAAUAAAUGUAAUUCAAGUGGGGAGGGAAUUAUCAUUACUCCUGAAAACCAACACAGUGCUCUGGCCCAGGCUAUCCGGUUUCAGAGGAGAAUGGCUAACAUGUUCAAAAUUUUCUACUCAGAAGAUGAUAUUUUGUGAAGUAUAUUUCAUAGUAUACUGUAUCACAUGGUCCCUGUACUAAAAGCAAACAACCCAGAACUAACUGUUCAUCUGAAUGCUGAUCUUUUAUAGGGGACCUCUAAUCCUCCCACAGAGAGAGGCUGAUGACCAAAGAGAUCAUUUCAAGUAAGAUAAGCAAGCCAUUAUUUAGCUUUGUCUUUAGAAUACAGUGUGUAUUUUAUUGGAGGAAUAAAGAAAGUAUGGUAGAAAAGGUAGGUGUGAGAUUUGUUAGGUUACUACCAUAAUUUUGGGUGAGGAUCUUCUUAAAAAUUAGUUUUUGUUCUUUAAGCACAGAACAAUGAAUAGUUGAAGCAACUGCUCCCCCACAAAGAGGAAAUCAUCCUGGAAUUAAUAAUGUUGUUUGAGGAGCCCAUUGAGUGGAUAAGCAACAAAUGGAUUGCUAAGACAUGACUAUAUUUUACUGGAGUAUAAUAAUAGUCCCCUUCCUAAGGAGUAAAAAAAAAUCCAGAGGCAAAGUCAAUGUAGUAAGACUCUUUUAUCUCUUUCCAACAUCAGAGAUAAAUGACAUUAGAAAAUUAAAAAAGGACUUUUCUCCAGCUCACAACUAGUGGUACAGUGAAAUUAGGGUGCGUGUUAAUUUAGCAGAGUCUUCCACCAAUAUUGAGAGUCUAGGUUUGCCUUAAGAAAAGUUGAGGAUCCAUCAGUGUGAUUCUUCUGGAAUCCAGGAGUGUUCUCUUGACAAAAAUUUCGGGCUUCCUCCCAUGUUCCUGAAAUCCCUUAGUUCUCCCAUGAGAUCGUUAGGUACAGAAUGCUUGUAUUUACAAAAUGAAUCAAAAUAUUUUUUUUUAAUUGAGGACUCAAUAAAAUAACAAACAGCUGGAAAGAAGCAGACUACUGUAAGAGUGAAU
Lutra lutra (Eurasian river otter) is the source of this 2285-nucleotide long non-coding RNA. RefSeq lists it as uncharacterized. The transcript is spliced from 3 exons. NCBI's taxonomy places the organism in Eukaryota, Metazoa, Chordata, Mammalia, Carnivora, Mustelidae. The record is from RefSeq and is a predicted model, not a curated record.